UUUGUGUAGCACACGUGCCCAUUUGCCUCUGAUCUCUGCAUGUUUUUUACUGUUCUUGAACUAAGUAAAAUAGCUGAAGUUCUUUUAAAUGUGAGAGCUGCUGUGUGGAAAUAGGUGUUUUAUUCACUUAUUACAGUCAAAGACUGACUCCUGUUGCAUGCAUGACAUAAGAUGUGGAAAAUCAAUCCCUUUUCUGUCUCUCCCAAUGAUAGCAAAAUGUUGAAUUUAUACUGGCCUGACAGAGUCCAGAUUACCAAGCAUACCAAAGUUUCCAGUUCUCUUGCUGUAAUGACUCUGUAGCGAGUUAACUGGCACUGUAAACUAGCUUUUCUCAGGAAACAAAUCUGACUUGGAGACACAAAGGGCAUAGGGCUCCAUUUCAUGUGAAAUGGAGCAUUGUUUUCAUACAGCCACCUCUGGAAGAAUGAUUAUGUUUUGACUGCUAUGGACAGAAGGCUGUGCUAGUGGGGACUCCCCUAGCCCUGGGCUGGCACCCAGGUUUGUGUGCUUCACUGUUGUCCUGCCACAGCUGGCUACCAGGUGCUGUGUCAGUCCCGAAGAUAUUCCAGCUGCUGGCUGCAGGUAACUGGGUAGUGACAGAGGACUUUGUUUCACAGGCAAUUUAGAGGAACACUUCUUGUCAAGAUAGCAAGACUGCCGAAGAAGUAGAAUUGACUGAGUUUUCAGCUCUUCAGAAAUAUUCUAGAUUGGUCUCAAAUUCGUUGCUUUAACAGUUGUUAACUAAUUUGCUCCUUGUAUUGUCUUUACUGCAUCAUUCUACACAGUCUCCUUUGGAGCAGCCAGCCCAAUCAAGAAAAGAUUCGUUUCUACUCAAUUCCUUAGCUGACCCAGAAGGAGAAAUGUUUUUUAGCUAUUCUGUAAGAUCCUUCAGCCCCUUUUUCUACAGCAUUUACCUUUGACAAGACCUUGUUGCAAUAAACCAGCACGUUCUGUGAUGCCAGGGGUCUUACAGCACUGGAAGUGGAACAGGCUUCUCAGUUUUUUUAGAAGAAAGAGCUGGGAGAUCUUAGUAAAAAGAGGAUGUGAGGAGGGCAGGGCCAGGGAAAGUAGAAAUGAAUAUAUGCUUGCACAAUGCUGAGAGUAGAGGGAACUCAGAGGAGACACGAGAUAAAGUGCCAGUGCCUUCACUGCAGCUUAUUGACAUGGAUUAUACAAAACCUUGCUGGAAGUACUGAUGCUUUUACUGUACCUCUUACUAUGACAAAUUUCAUUUCCCUGUUUCAUUUCCCUCCUUAUUCCUGGCCUGAUCCCCAUCUUGCUUCCUCUUUUUAUUCUCAGUGGCACAGGUUUUUGAUGGCAUUGAUUGCCACACUUGCUGUUGCUUCUUGUAUCACUUCAGUCCCCAUCAGCAUUUCAUUUGGCCAAGACCCUGUCUUCCCUUUCUUCUUGGCUUUUACAGCUAGCUGGUGGGGAGGUGUUCUGCUCUUGGGUUCUUUUUAAUUCCUUCCAGUCUGUUUCCUGCCUUCUUCACCUGAUGGACUUUGCUGCCCUCAAAAUGGCUAACUGCAUUUCCUCUCCAACAUCACUGGCAGCCUCUUCAGCUCGGUGAUGUGCAGGACAGAUUUCCUGUUUGCCUGAAGUUAAAUCUGAGCUGACCUGUCACUACAAAUGGACAGUUUUUCAAAGAUGAGGCUUGGUGGAGCAGCUUCUUGGUAUCUCAAAGAUGGAAGGCCAACUUUGUGCUAAUGUGGACAUUUCUGUGAAAAAGCCUCCAGAAACAAGCCCUCUGUCCUUCAUUGCUUUGCUGAAGGUUCACCGAGAGCUUCUGGUCAGUAGGAUCCGAAACACGCAGUGCUUGAUUGAUAACUUGAUUAAGAACGACUACUUCUCCACUGAAGAUGCAGAGAUUGUUGUCCAGUUUCCUACUCAACCAGAUAAGGUUCGCAAAAUUCUAGACUUGGUUCAAAGCAAGGGAGAAGAAGUUUCGGAAUAUUUCGUCUAUGUCCUGCAGAAAGUCACUGAUGCUUACUAUGAGCUUCAGCCUUGGCUGGAUGAAAUAGGUUACAAGCCUUCAGAGAAUAUUUGUAGUAAACCUGUGGUAAAUACAGAUCCAGUUAGCAGGUAUUGCCAGAAACUCAGACAUGAACUGGGACGGGACUCCAAGUUUUUUAUGCUGUACGCUCAGAAGGAGGAGAUGCUUCUUGAAGAAAUUUACUCCAACAGUAUUAUGGAGCUGGUCAGUUUUACCAAUGAGAGUCUUGGCCAGGUGGGACAACUAGAAGCCCUUUUUGAUGAUGCAGUUGGGCUAAUUAAUGAAGAUGGAGAGACUGUUUAUGUCUACGGUGAUGCAGGAAUUGGAAAAUCCAUCUUGCUGCAAAAGAUACAAAGCCUUUGGGCCAGGAAGGAGUUGGACAUAGGGGCCAAGUUUUUCUUCUGUUUUCGGUGUAGGAUGUUUAGCUGCUUCAAGGAAGAUGAAGCCAUAUGUUUGAAAGACCUGCUCUUCAAAUAUAAUUGCUACCCAGACCAGGACCCCGCAGAAGUGUUCCAUCACAUCUUGCAGUUCCCUCAUACAGUUCUUUUCACCUUUGAUGGCUUUGAUGAGAUCUAUUCCAGCUUUGAUCUCAGCAGUGUACCUGAGGUAUGCUCACCCGAUGAACCCAUCCACCCCCUGGCACUGCUCGUAAGCCUUCUCAGAGGAAAGCUUCUUAAGGGAUCCAAGAAAAUUCUUACUGCCAGGACAGGAACUGAGAUCCAAAAAAACAUCAUUAGGAAGAAGGUGUUGCUCCGUGGUUUCUCCAGGAAUAACCUGAAGGAAUACACAGCUAUGUUUUUCAAAGAUGAGCAGCAACGAGCACUGGUGUCAAACCAGUUGGAAGCUAACCCAAAUCUCUGCAGUUUGUGUUCAGUGCCUUUAUUUUGCUGGAUUAUCUUUAAAUGCUUUGAGCACUUCCACUCCAGCCAGUGGUUUGACGGCCACGAGCUCCCAGACAGUUCUGUUACAUUAACAGAUGUAUUUCUGCUCAUGAUUGAAGUACACCUGAACCGAUCAGUGAAAACAAGUUUGCUGAAGAGCAAUAUCAGGAGCCAAGCAGAGAUGUUCAAGUCAAGAAAGGAAAGUCUUCUAGCUUUGGGUAAAAUGGCAUACAAAGGGAUGGAGAACUCUUCCUUUAUCUUUGAGCAGGAGGAAGUCUCAUCGGCAAACAUCUCUGAAGAAGAUUUGCAAUUGGGCUUUCUCAGGACAGUUAAAGGUUAUAGUGGCUGUGACAGUCAGGCCACUUAUGAGUUCUUGCACUUAACCCUUCAGUCUUUUUUCACAGCUUUAUUUUUGGUUAUGGAGGAGAAGGUGGGUACCAAGGAGUUACUUGAGUUUUUCAGUGAAUGUUCUUCCAUGGAGACUGCCCAGCCUACUUGCCUUCGUAUCCCCUGGCUGAAGAAACAACUAGCAGGGGGGGAUCCUUUCCAAAAUAAAGAACACUUUAAUUUUACCAACAUGUUUCUUUGUGGCCUGCUUUCUGGACCCAGGCAGAAGCUCUUCAGACAUUUAGUUUCACCUGCGGUCAUUAAGAGGAAGAGAAAAACACUCAUCACAUACCUUGGGGAGAGCAUGAAAUCCCGCCUGAAAGGCUACACUCGGUCCAGGCUGAAAAGCUACAACCAGGUGCAGGUGCAGCCCAACUUUGUGUGGAUGCUGAGGUGCCUGUAUGAGACGCAGAGUGAGAAGGUGGGGAGGAUGGCAGCCCGCCGCAUGCACGCCAACUACAUCAAGCUGGCCUACUGCAACGCCUGCUCUGCCGACUGCAGCGCCAUUUCCUUCCUUCUGCACCACUUCCAAAAGCGCCUGGCUCUGGAUCUGGACAACAACAACAUCAAUGACUAUGGAAUAAAGCAGCUGCAACCUUGUUUCAGCAAGCUUGCAGUCAUCAGGCUGAGUGUAAACCAGGUCACAGAUCAUGGCGUGAGGAUCUUGUAUGAAGAACUCUCCAAGUACCAAAUUGUGUCUUUCUUGGGCUUAUACAACAACCAAAUCACUGAUGUUGGAGCCAAAUACGUUGCAAAAUUAAUUGAAGAGUGUUCAAGCCUGGAAUAUGUUAAAAUAGGAGCAAACAAAAUAACGAGCGAAGGAGGGAAGUGCCUUGCCCAGGCCAUCCAGAAGAGCAAGACAAUGUUUGAAAUUGGGAUGUGGGGUAAUCAAGUUGGAGACGAAGGAGCAAGGGCAUUUGCAGAUGCCCUGAGGAACCACCCCAGGUUAACAAAUGUGAGUCUUGCAUUCAAUGGCAUCACAACAGAGGGAGGCAAGAGUAUUGCUGAAGCCAUGCAGCACAACAACUCCGUGAGGAUAUUCUGGUUGACUAAAAACGAGCUGGAUGAUGAGGCAGCAAUGAGUUUUGCAGAGAUGCUGAAGGUCAACAAGAAACUGGUGCAUUUAUGAAAUUGUUCAAUACACUCCAAUUUUCAGCCUCAUCCUGAAUCCUGAGGGAUUCAUGCAACCAGGCACAUGGAAUAGUACAGCUGUGGGGCUCACCAUGGUGGACUGAAAGGCUUAUCCAGAAUCAAAUUACAGCCAAAGGGGUGAAGUGCCUCAGUGAAGCUCUCAAGGAGAACACGACUAUUCAAGAAA
Zonotrichia albicollis (white-throated sparrow) is the source of this 4579-nucleotide non-coding RNA. Lineage: Eukaryota; Metazoa; Chordata; Aves; Passeriformes; Passerellidae. The record is from RefSeq and is a predicted model, not a curated record.